Molecule: transfer RNA, 72 nt
Filed under: Ovis aries (sheep)
Lineage: Eukaryota; Metazoa; Chordata; Mammalia; Artiodactyla; Bovidae
Rfam family: tRNA
About the family: Transfer RNA (tRNA) molecules are approximately 80 nucleotides in length. Their secondary structure includes four short double-helical elements and three loops (D, anti-codon, and T loops).
Source: Rfam by way of RNAcentral
UCCCGGGGGGCUCAUACAGUAAAGCGUCUGCCUACAAUGCAGGAGACCCGGGUUCGAUCCCUGGGUUGGGAA